RNAcentral lists this ribosomal RNA (378 nucleotides) under uncultured eukaryote. RNAcentral describes it as "partial 18S ribosomal RNA". It matches the Rfam family "Eukaryotic small subunit ribosomal RNA", at positions 592 to 975 of the family's 1831-position model. The record is from RNAcentral.
CAAUAGCGUAUAUUUAAGUUGUUGCAGUUAAAAAGCUCGUAGUUGGAUUUCGGAUGGGACUUGCCGGUCCGUCGUUUCGAUGUGCACUGGCCAGUCCUAUCUUGUUGUCGGGGACUAGCUCCUGGGCUUCACUGUCCGGGACUAGGAGCUGACGAGGUUACUUUGAGUAAAUUAGAGUGUUCAAAGCGAGCCUACGCUCUGAAUACAUUAGCAUGGAAUAACACGAUAGGACUCUGGCUUAUCUUGUUGGUCUGUGAGACCAGAGUAAUGAUUAAGAGGGACAGUCGGGGGCAUUCGUAUUUCAUUGUCAGAGGUGAAAUUCUUGGAUUUAUGAAAGACGAACUUCUGCGAAAGCAUUUGUCAAGGAUGUUUUCAUUA